RNAcentral lists this ribosomal RNA (440 nucleotides) under uncultured bacterium. Its description in RNAcentral is "partial 16S ribosomal RNA". It matches the Rfam family "Bacterial small subunit ribosomal RNA", at positions 338 to 795 of the family's 1533-position model. The record is from RNAcentral.
CCUACGGGAGGCAGCAGUGGGGAAUAUUGCACAAUGGGGGAAACCCUGAUGCAGCGACGCCGCGUGAGUGAAGAAGUAUUUCGGUACGUAAAGCUCUAUCAGCAGGGAAGAAAAUGACGGUACCUGACUAAGAAGCCCCGGCUCACUACGUGCCAGCAGCCGCGGUAACACGUAGGGGGCAAGCGGUAUCCGGAUUUACUGGGUGUAAAGGGAGCGUAGACGGGAGCGCAAGGCUGGAGUGAAAUCCCAUGGCUUAACCAUGGAACUGCUGUGGAAACUGGGCAGCUAGAGUGCAGGAGAGGUAAGCGGAAUUCGUGGUGUAGCGGUGAAAUGCGUAGAUAUUAGGAGGAACACCAGUGGCGAAGGCGGCUUACUGGACUGUAACUGACGUUGAGGCUCGAAAGCGUGGGGAGCAAACAGGAUUAGAUACCCUAGUAGUC